GGCCGCGUAGCACAGUGGUAGUGUAUUCGGCCCGUGACCGAGAGGUCGCCGGUUCGAAUCCGGCUGCCGUGUUGCCG
Molecule: non-coding RNA, 77 nt
Organism: Branchiostoma floridae (Florida lancelet)
Lineage: Eukaryota; Metazoa; Chordata; Leptocardii; Amphioxiformes; Branchiostomatidae
Source: the annotation of a RefSeq genome assembly